UCUCUCCUGUUCCUUCCUGCACUUCUCUUUUCUCCCACUCUCCUCUGAAUUUUGUAAAACCACCGUUCUUUCCUCUCUUCCUCCCUUUCCUCCAGUCUCUGUUUACUAAAGCUCUUUAUUUCUGUCACACUGAUGCUGCCACGUCGAUGGAUUCUCUUUUUGUGGCCUGCUUUGCAGCCUUAUCUACCACAAAAAUAUGACUGCAAUGCCCAUCAUUUCAGAAUCAGCUUUAUUUGCCAGCACCGCGAACACACUCGCUAGAAUUCCUCCUGCUUCAUCACUAAUCCUCUUCACUGCUGGAACAAUAAAAGCUCCUUCUAUCUUAUGAA
This is a long non-coding RNA of Micropterus dolomieu (smallmouth bass), 329 nucleotides long. RefSeq lists it as uncharacterized. The transcript has 2 exons. Lineage: Eukaryota; Metazoa; Chordata; Actinopteri; Centrarchiformes; Centrarchidae. The record is from RefSeq and is a predicted model, not a curated record.